GAUGAACGCUGGCGGCGUGCCUAAUACAUGCAAGUCGAGCGAACGGACGAGGAGCUUGCUGCUCGGAUGUUAGCGGCGGAGGGGAGAGUAACGCGUGGAUAACCUACCUAUAAGACUGGGAUAACUUCGGGAAACCGUAGCUAAUACCGGAUAAUAUUUUGAUGCGCAUGGUUGAAAAGUGAAAGACGGUCUUGCGGUAACUUAUAGAUGGAUCCGCGCUUCAUUAGCUGGUUGGUAAGGUAACGGCUUACGAAGGCAACGAUGCAUAGCCGACGUGAGAGAGUGAUAGCCCGCCCUGGAACUUGGCCCGGGUCCUGACGCCUGCGGGAGGGAGCAGUAUGCAACCGUCCGCAAUGGGCGAAAACAUGACGGAACAACGCGGCGCCAGAUAUGAAGGUCCCCCGUGCGUAAAACCCUGUUACUAGUUAUAAACAUAUGUGUAAGUAACUGUGCACAUCGUGACGGUACCUAAUCAGAAAGCCACGGCUAACUACGUG
This 497-nucleotide ribosomal RNA is filed under the name uncultured bacterium. Its description in RNAcentral is "partial 16S ribosomal RNA". It matches the Rfam family "Bacterial small subunit ribosomal RNA", at positions 28 to 507 of the family's 1533-position model. The record is from RNAcentral.